This 401-nucleotide ribosomal RNA is filed under the name uncultured bacterium. RNAcentral's name for it is "bacterial SSU rRNA". It matches the Rfam family "Bacterial small subunit ribosomal RNA", at positions 29 to 416 of the family's 1533-position model. The record is from RNAcentral.
AACGAACGUUAGCGGCGCGCCUAACACAUGCAAGUCGAGCGAGAAGGAAGCAAUUCCUGUAAAGCGGCGCACGGGUGAGUAACACGUAGGUAAUCUACCUCGAAGUGGUGGAUAACCUUCCGAAAGGAGGGCUAAUACAGCAUGAGACCACGGUUUCGAAAGAGAUUGAGGUCAAAGCGGGCCACUAUACAUAAGCUCGCGCUUCGAGAUGAGCCUGCGGCCCAUCAUGGUAGUUGGUAGGGUAAUGGCCUACCAAGCCGAAGACGGGUAGCUGGUCUGAGAGGAUGAUCAGCCACACUGGAACUGAGACACGGUCCAGACUCCUACGGGAGGCAGCAGUGGGGAAUCUUGCGCAAUGGGCGAAAGCCUGACGCAGCGACGCCGCGUGAGUGAUGAAGGCC